RNAcentral lists this ribosomal RNA (253 nucleotides) under uncultured bacterium. RNAcentral's name for it is "partial 16S ribosomal RNA". It matches the Rfam family "Bacterial small subunit ribosomal RNA", at positions 524 to 776 of the family's 1533-position model. The record is from RNAcentral.
UACGUAGGGUGCGAGCGUUAAUCGGAAUUACUGGGCGUAAAGCGUGCGCAGGCGGUUUUGUAAGCCAGAUGUGAAAGCCCCGGGCUCAACCUGGGAAUGGCAUUUGGGACUGCAAGGCUGGAGUGUGGCAGAGGAGACUGGAAUUCCUGGUGUAGCAGUGAAAUGCGUAGAUAUCAGGAGGAAUACCGAUGGCGAAGGCGGCUACCUGGACCGAUAUUGACGCUGAGACGCGAAAGCGUGGGGAGCAAACAGG